GGGCUUGUAACUCAGGGGUAGAGUGCUCGCUUUGCAGGACGUCGUCGUCUACAAGCAUGCGAGAAGUCCGGCGUUCAAAUCGCCGCUGGUCCA
Exophiala xenobiotica is the source of this 93-nucleotide non-coding RNA. NCBI's taxonomy places the organism in Eukaryota, Fungi, Ascomycota, Eurotiomycetes, Chaetothyriales, Herpotrichiellaceae. The record is from the annotation of a RefSeq genome assembly.